GGGUCUGUAGCUCAGUCGGAUAGAGCAACGGCCUUCUAAGCCGUUUGUCGGGGGUUCAAAUCCCUCCAGGCUCGCCA
This 77-nucleotide transfer RNA is filed under the name Clostridiales bacterium. RNAcentral's name for it is "tRNA-Arg". It matches the Rfam family "tRNA". Rfam says of the family: Transfer RNA (tRNA) molecules are approximately 80 nucleotides in length. Their secondary structure includes four short double-helical elements and three loops (D, anti-codon, and T loops). Further hydrogen bonds mediate the characteristic L-shaped molecular structure. tRNAs have two regions of fundamental functional importance: the anti-codon, which is responsible for specific mRNA codon recognition, and the 3' end, to which the tRNAs corresponding amino acid is attached (by aminoacyl-tRNA synthetases). tRNAs cope with the degeneracy of the genetic code in two manners: having more than one tRNA (with a specific anti-codon) for a particular amino acid; and 'wobble' base-pairing, i.e. permitting non-standard base-pairing at the 3rd anti-codon position. The record is from RNAcentral. Lineage: Bacteria; Bacillati; Bacillota; Clostridia; Eubacteriales.